ACGGGAGGCAGCAGUGAGGAAUAUUGGUCAAUGGGCGGAGGCCUGAACCAGCCAAGUCGCGUGAAGGAUGAAGGUAUUAUGUAUUGUAAACUUCUUUAGCUGUGGAGCAAUAAUCUCCAUGUAUGGAGAGAUGAGAGUACACAGAGAAUAAGGAUCGGCUAACUCCGUGCCAGCAGCCGCGGUAAUACGGAGGAUCCGAGCGUUAUCCGGAUUUAUUGGGUUUAAAGGGUGCGCAGGCGGCUUUCUAAGUCAGUGGUCAAAUCGUGGUGCUCAACGCCAUCCCGCCAUUGAUACUGGAGAGCUUGAUUGCGGUCGAGGUUUGCGGAAUUCGUCGUGUAGCGGUGAAACGCAUAGAUAUGACGAAGAACACCGAUUGCGUAGGCAGCAGACCAGGCCGUAAAUGACGCUCAUGCACGAAAGUGCGGGGAUCGAACAGGAUUAGAUACCCUGGUA
This 453-nucleotide ribosomal RNA is filed under the name uncultured Porphyromonadaceae bacterium. RNAcentral describes it as "partial 16S ribosomal RNA". It matches the Rfam family "Bacterial small subunit ribosomal RNA", at positions 341 to 792 of the family's 1533-position model. Lineage: Bacteria; Pseudomonadati; Bacteroidota; Bacteroidia; Bacteroidales; Porphyromonadaceae. The record is from RNAcentral.